This 1957-nucleotide long non-coding RNA is filed under the name Felis catus (domestic cat). Its description in RNAcentral is "lncRNA (ENSFCAG00000048555.1)". The record is from RNAcentral. Lineage: Eukaryota; Metazoa; Chordata; Mammalia; Carnivora; Felidae.
ACAAUUUCUGAGUAGCUAUAGUGAAUGUAACAUAAAUUAUACCAACUGGUUCUACUUUCUUCCUGCAAAGAGAAUGAACUGAAUUGGUGGGUGUAAGCCAACAUCUUAGAAUGUGCCAGUUCGUGGAUCUCCUUUCACCCAAAUAAGAGACUCCAUUUGAUAACUAUUCUUUUAUGCCAAAUAAACCCAGAUCUUAAAAGCCCUUAUUUCAGUAAAGUUGAAGGGCAGAGACAAAACAGCACGAUUCCUGUAAAUCCUUGGAAACAAUGAAAACUUAUCUGUCAAAGAACUGCAGAACUCUAAACUUGAGACCAUCUUGUUCAACAUCCUCAUUUCAAAGAUAAGAAAUCUCCAGCUAGAGAGGUGAAGGGCCGCUUCAAUGCCCCCCAGACAAUAAAGUGUGGCUCAUAACUAGAACUCUGAAGACCCAUCUACCUGAGUGGUUUUUCUGACUGACAAAUGCAAUGAGAGAAGUGGCUAAUUGUGGUUCUUCCUGAAAUCAGAAUGUGACCUCCACAUAUACUCACAUCUUUUCAUCUGUGAUUUUCAUAUUGAUAUUCACAUGUUUAUAAAAUAAACCUACACUCAACUCCUUUAGACUCUUCCUAUUUAAAACAAAUAUUUUGUUUCCUCAAACUCAGUAACCUUGCUCUUAAAACUUCCACAUAAAAGUCCCCUCUAUAAUUUAAAGAUCUCCUACAUCCAUCUCCUCCAUGAUGAUUUCCUACAGGCUUCAGCCAGAAAAGGAACCUUCUAAGCCCUAGGAUAUCCCAUUCACAUCUCUUAUUUUCCUUGUGUCUCACUUAUCAGCCCUCCCUAAGAAGUCGGGGACUGCUAAUCUACACCUCAGAUGUUGACAUAACUUUUGUCACCAGCAAUUCGACUUGUCAAGAGCAGUUAUGCAUGCAAUCAGAUAUCCAGAGCCCAGACGUUCAUCCUUAUGAUAAACUUCAGUGAGAUAUUCAAUUUGUAGAUUUAUUCACUCCCAUCCUCACAUCCUCUUCCUUUUUUUACCCAAUCCAUGGGAUGACUUCUCUCUCCUAGAAGCACAAGGCUUUGUGAGGGCCAGCAUCAGUAAGACAGUAUUAAUUGAAUGAGCAUCCGUUAUUUGCUAAAACUUUGUGAGAAAAACAAAAUAUACAUCAUGAACAGAGCUGAAAGGGACCCUACAGCUUCAGUCUAAAAGUGUUAUGUUUCCGACAAAGAAAUUGGGAUCCACAGAAGUAAUUUUUUCAAAUCAUCCUGCAGUAUUGUGGUGGGACUAAACAAGAAAACGGUUCUUAUUGCAACGCUGAGCUCCCCCUCACACGAUCAUGAGGCUUCCCAUUUAGUUGUGAUGACACCUUAAAUUCUGUAACAUUAUAACCCAGAAAAAUUUCCAUAUAAACUUAAACGGUGUCCUCCCGUUAAAACAAAAGUCUAUGCUGUUUGAAAAUGUUUAUUGAUGGCUCAUCUUCCUGAUCAGAUUCUCUACAAAAGCGAACUCUAAAGAGCUAAUGCAUUAUUUUAUUCUUUUCAUUGUUCAAAUUCUCACUGACCUCAGAGGACCCAGGGAAUCUUUUCUAUCAACAGUCCUAAGAGAGUCAUAAAAGAAUACACAAGUCAGCAGUGACCUCAGUGAAUACAGAGCUGCAUAUGACAGGAGAUCUGAGUGGGAAGCUACAUGUAAUAAUUGAAAGAUGGUAACUCUUAUUCUGAGCAGCAAAACUAUGGCAAAUUAGGCUUAGUAAAGCAUGUAGUUAUAUCCAAAAUUUUAAUCCAACUAACCCAUUCACUACUAAACACAUGUGUCUCAAGUUCAGUCCAGAGAUCCUUUGAAGGAAGCACGUGUGUGUGCAUGCGUGUGCAUGCAUUUCAUCCAUACAACUUUCACUUAGUGAGAAUUUGUGGAAUAACUACAAUGUGAGGAACAGAAGGACUUAGAGAAGAAACAAGAGAGCAGAGUCCCUGUAUAGAA